Aegilops tauschii subsp. strangulata is the source of this 2583-nucleotide long non-coding RNA. RefSeq lists it as uncharacterized. The record is from RefSeq and is a predicted model, not a curated record. NCBI's taxonomy places the organism in Eukaryota, Viridiplantae, Streptophyta, Magnoliopsida, Poales, Poaceae.
UGGGGUGCACAAGCUCCAUCAGGUAGCUGCAGGUCCCGUACGACCACGGCCCGCACCCUGGAGCUUCCCCGUCUGCAGCAGCUUCUGGAUCCAAGGUAUUCAUUCAUCUCUCUACUGACCUAAAGCAUGCAAGUGUUUCUCCUCUCAACAUUUUUUAGAUUCAUAUUAGUCUAAUGAUGUGGUGUUAGUCUGACGAUGGUUUAUAUGGGAGGCUAUUAUUUUAUUGUAAGGUGUUUUUGACAAUUUUCCUUGACUGAUUUCUGCAACAGCAAGUGUGAGAUACUUUUGACAAUUUUCCUUGACUGAUUUCUGCAACAAUAUAGUUCAUUACAUAUUAUACUCUCCAAGUAACAACAGCUACUAUUCUGUGCAGAUUUUUUUUCCUAAACAAGAUGUUGUAUGCAAAUUCGUAUCGCUGAAAAAUGAGUCUAAUAGAUUAUUUUGUAAUAAUCAAGUAACAAUAGUCGUUGUGUCAUGUGCAGACUUUUUUCUAGAUAUGCAUAUGCCGUGAUUAAUUUGGUACCUUCUCUAUAAUAGUUGUAGUUAGUCCAAUGUUGGAUUUGCCUUGUUUGCACAAUUAUGUAGUCUUGUUAUUAUGGAGGAGGAAAGCUGGUCUUUUUUGGUUACUAAACGUAGGGCUUAUACAUGUUCAUGUUAGAGUUGAGCUUUGCAAGUUUGUGGUCUGGCUAGGACAGUGUAGAUAUUUCUAUGUGCAUCUCUUAUCUAGUACUACCUCUUAACCAAAAUAUAAGACGUUUUUGCAGUUCAAUUUGAACAGCAAAAAUGUCAUAUAUUUUUUACGGAGGGAGUACUAGAUAAGAGAUAUCCUAAAUAAAGGCUAUUCCAGUCCGUUGAUCUCCGCAUCUAAAUAAACUCCAAUGGUCGUGUCUUUUUUCAUGCUACAAAUACUGUCAUGGUGGUCCCUGUUAAGCCGCAAUGAGAAUCUUUUAUCCUUUCCGGUACAUCUCUGUUUUCUUAAAUUGAAGAGAAGAAAGAAACACUCAGGAUGCUACUGUCGACUUUUUUGUUGUUGAUAUAAAUACACUAGUUACACGGACCAUUUUCUCUUCAUGCUUACAAACAUGACUGGCUUGUGAUUUGUGUUCCAUUCGGCCAGUUCUUUUUCUGGUUUCUCAAGAGAUGCUAAAGAUGCUCACUAGUUAAUAACAUGACAGCAUGCUCCUGUAGCUAGUCGGGAUUUGGGUCUAUUAUGAUACUAUAAGUUGAUUGCACUAACCAGCAUGGUGGUAAUGUCGAGUCGAGUUGAGCACUGUCCACUUUUCACUGCCUGUUGUCUCAUGGUUCGCCAUUCUACCUUGAAGGGAAAAGGGCGGCACUCUACCUUGAAGUUGAUAGAGACGGCUCCAUUCUCACACUGCUCCUACCGUAGCCGGCUUGAUUUGGACCUCAUCAAGGUAUGUCUCUGCUCCCUCUCCCUCUCAUGAUGUGCUCUGGCUGUCACCAUAUUGCUUAGGUGUGUGAAAACUGAUGCUUUCUUCCUGUAUUAGCUUGCUGUUACUUAACGAACUGAUUAGUAACAUACAGAUAUACACACGCUCGUUUUUUUAUGAAACAUCCAAAACAAGUCCCCAUCCUGUGGCCAUCUAUCUCCUCUCUUUUCAAUCUACAUGUACACACUUAUGUUUCCAAAGUUCCCUGGCCAGAGCAAUGUGGAACGAUUAAUUAGUUAUUAACCAAUGCCAUUUUUUAGUCAUUUUUGCUUACGUGAUGAAUCAAUGUAACUUGUACUUGGAAAUUUAUCUUUGGGAGCCAUCAUAUUUGCUCGCUACACCAUAUUACCUAGAGUAUGACAAGAGAACUGAUUCUUCUCAACCACACUAGGUGAGUAAAAAAACUGAAGCUUUCUUUAUUCAGAGAUGAGAUGAGAGGUCAGGUCCUAUCAUAGCCAGCUGAUAUGCAUCUGCAAGUUGUACCUACAGGAUAUAUACCACUGGUUCUUUGGUCCUUCAAUUUUUAUACAAGUGCAUGACUAAAAUCAAAAUUAAAUUUACUUCGAUGUUCAGUUUAUUCCAUGAUGAAUCUGCACCGCUUUCUACUUCAGAAUUUCCACUAUGUGUCAACAUCUUUUCAACUUCGUGUGUUUUAUUAUUUAUUUAUGAAAUUUGCAGCGCGAUGGAGGCCGGCCGCAUCGGGUCGAUUCCGUCCACCUAUUUCUGAGCGGUGGACCUUGAUGACGGCCUCCCUCCUGACAGUCUGCAGGACCAUAGGAAGGGGAAGGAGGCAGAGGCAGGGUCUCCUUGCACCCCCACGCAAAAUCAAGAGCAAGGGGAAGAUGCUCGCUUUCAUAAAAAGGAUGACGCCAGGGGAUCAUCGACAGCCCGUAAUGCUAAUGGAGUGUAAAUCCAUCUAUGUAUUUCAUGAAGAGGUACACAACCCAAGAGAUGCUGCUUUGGUUUGGUGUUUCUUCCUUGUCCUAAGGGAGCGCGGGUGGGAGGGAACACUUACUACUAGUUCAAUUUUCUUUGCUUGUCACUUUUGCUCUUGUUUCUUUGAUUUGGUUGAACGUCUUAAUUGAUUAAUAAAGUCUGGUAGUAAUCAUUGGUAAAAAUAAAUAUAUUUAUA